AGCGUACACGGUGGAUGCCCUGGCAGUCAGAGGCGAUGAAGGACGUGCUAAUCUGCGAUAAGCGUCGGUGAGGUGAUAUGAACCGUUAUAACCGGCGAUUUCCGAAUGGGGAAACCCAGUGUGUUUCGACACACUAUCAUUAACUGAAUCCAUAGGUUAAUGAGGCGAACCGGGGGAACUGAAACAUCUAAGUACCCCGAGGAAAAGAAAUCAACCGAGAUUCCCCCAGUAGCGGCGAGCGAACGGGGAGGAGCCCAGAGCCUGAAUCAGUGUGUGUGUUAGUGGAAGCGUCUGGAAAGGCGCGCGAUACAGGGUGACAGCCCCGUACACAAAAAUGCACAUAUUGUGAGCUCGAUGAGUAGGGCGGGACACGUGGUAUCCUGUCUGAAUAUGGGGGGACCAUCCUCCAAGGCUAAAUACUCCUGACUGACCGAUAGUGAACCAGUACCGUGAGGGAAAGGCGAAAAGAACCCCGGCGAGGGGAGUGAAAAAGAACCUGAAACCGUGUACGUACAAGCAGUGGGAGCCUCUUAAUGGGGUGACUGCGUACCUUUUGUAUAAUGGGUCAGCGACUUAUAUUCUGUAGCAAGGUUAACCGAAUAGGGGAGCCGAAGGGAAACCGAGUCUUAACUGGGCGUUAAGUUGCAGGGUAUAGACCCGAAACCCGGUGAUCUAGCCAUGGGCAGGUUGAAGGUUGGGUAACACUAACUGGAGGACCGAACCGACUAAUGUUGAAAAAUUAGCGGAUGACUUGUGGCUGGGGGUGAAAGGCCAAUCAAACCGGGAGAUAGCUGGUUCUCCCCGAAAGCUAUUUAGGUAGCGCCUCGUGAAUUCAUCUCCGGGGGUAGAGCACUGUUUCGGCAAGGGGGUCAUCCCGACUUACCAACCCGAUGCAAACUGCGAAUACCGGAGAAUGUUAUCACGGGAGACACACGGCGGGUGCUAACGUCCGUCGUGAAGAGGGAAACAACCCAGACCGCCAGCUAAGGUCCCAAAGUCAUGGUUAAGUGGGAAACGAUGUGGGAAGGCCCAGACAGCCAGGAUGUUGGCUUAGAAGCAGCCAUCAUUUAAAGAAAGCGUAAUAGCUCACUGGUCGAGUCGGCCUGCGCGGAAGAUGUAACGGGGCUAAACCAUGCACCGAAGCUGCGGCAGCGACACUAUGUGUUGUUGGGUAGGGGAGCGUUCUGUAAGCCUGUGAAGGUGGCCUGUGAGGGUUGCUGGAGGUAUCAGAAGUGCGAAUGCUGACAUAAGUAACGAUAAAGCGGGUGAAAAGCCCGCUCGCCGGAAGACCAAGGGUUCCUGUCCAACGUUAAUCGGGGCAGGGUGAGUCGACCCCUAAGGCGAGGCCGAAAGGCGUAGUCGAUGGGAAACAGGUUAAUAUUCCUGUACUUGGUGUUACUGCGAAGGGGGGACGGAGAAGGCUAUGUUGGCCGGGCGACGGUUGUCCCGGUUUAAGCGUGUAGGCUGGUUUUCCAGGCAAAUCCGGAAAACCAAGGCUGAGGCGUGAUGACGAGGCACUACGGUGCUGAAGCGACAAAUGCCCUGCUUCCAGGAAAAGCCUCUAAGCAUCAGGUAACAUCAAAUCGUACCCCAAACCGACACAGGUGGUCAGGUAGAGAAUACCAAGGCGCUUGAGAGAACUCGGGUGAAGGAACUAGGCAAAAUGGUGCCGUAACUUCGGGAGAAGGCACGCUGAUAUGUAGGUGAAGCGACUUGCUCGUGGAGCUGAAAUCAGUCGAAGAUACCAGCUGGCUGCAACUGUUUAUUAAAAACACAGCACUGUGCAAACACGAAAGUGGACGUAUACGGUGUGACGCCUGCCCGGUGCCGGAAGGUUAAUUGAUGGGGUUAGCGGUAAGGCGAAGCUCUUGAUCGAAGCCCCGGUAAACGGCGGCCGUAACUAUAACGGUCCUAAGGUAGCGAAAUUCCUUGUCGGGUAAGUUCCGACCUGCACGAAUGGCGUAAUGAUGGCCAGGCUGUCUCCACCCGAGACUCAGUGAAAUUGAACUCGCUGUGAAGAUGCAGUGUACCCGCGGCAAGACGGAAAGACCCCGUGAACCUUUACUAUAGCUUGACACUGAACAUUGAGCCUUGAUGUGUAGGAUAGGUGGGAGGCUUUGAAGUGUGGACGCCAGUCUGCAUGGAGCCGACCUUGAAAUACCACCCUUUAAUGUUUGAUGUUCUAACGUUGGCCCGUAAUCCGGGUUGCGGACAGUGUCUGGUGGGUAGUUUGACUGGGGCGGUCUCCUCCUAAAGAGUAACGGAGGAGCACGAAGGUUGGCUAAUCCUGGUCGGACAUCAGGAGGUUAGUGCAAUGGCAUAAGCCAGCUUGACUGCGAGCGUGACGGCGCGAGCAGGUGCGAAAGCAGGUCAUAGUGAUCCGGUGGUUCUGAAUGGAAGGGCCAUCGCUCAACGGAUAAAAGGUACUCCGGGGAUAACAGGCUGAUACCGCCCAAGAGUUCAUAUCGACGGCGGUGUUUGGCACCUCGAUGUCGGCUCAUCACAUCCUGGGGCUGAAGUAGGUCCCAAGGGUAUGGCUGUUCGCCAUUUAAAGUGGUACGCGAGCUGGGUUUAGAACGUCGUGAGACAGUUCGGUCCCUAUCUGCCGUGGGCGCUGGAGAACUGAGGGGGGCUGCUCCUAGUACGAGAGGACCGGAGUGGACGCAUCACUGGUGUUCGGGUUGUCAUGCCAAUGGCACUGCCCGGUAGCUAAAUGCGGAAGAGAUAAGUGCUGAAAGCAUCUAAGCACGAAACUUGCCCCGAGAUGAGUUCUCCCUGACUCCUUGA
RNAcentral lists this ribosomal RNA (2787 nucleotides) under Escherichia coli. RNAcentral describes it as "bacterial LSU rRNA". It matches the Rfam family "Bacterial large subunit ribosomal RNA". Lineage: Bacteria; Pseudomonadati; Pseudomonadota; Gammaproteobacteria; Enterobacterales; Enterobacteriaceae. The record is from RNAcentral.